GGAUGAAGGGGAGUGAGCUCUGGGAGGUAGGGGCCCCAUCCAAGAAGGCUGUGUGUGGUGGACUGAAUGUUUGCGUCCCCCCGACAUUCAUACAUUGAAGCUCUGUCCCCCAUUGUGAUGGGAUCCGUAGGUGGGGCUUUGGGGAGGUGAUUAGGUUUGAGAAUGGAGCCCUCAGAGAUGGCAUUAAGUGACGUUAGAGGAGUCCUGAGGUGCUUGCUUCUCUCUCUUACGUGAGGCUAUAAGGAGAAAACGGCCUCUGCAACCCUGAAGAGGGCCCUCAGGAACCGAGCACCCUGGCACCUGAUCUCUUUCAGCCUCCAGAACUUUGCUGCCUGUAGCAGUCUUUCAGUGCGUCUCUGCAGAUGAGAUAAGCCAAUAUAGACAGAAGGGCACCUCCUCUGGGAUACCCCCGAGGAAGACCCAAGGGGAAGGGGGAAAAGGCUAUAUUGAAUACCAUACUUGGUUCUCCUUUCUAUUUACUUGUCGUAAUAAGAGAGAAAUAGAAAAAAAGUUACUCAUUCCUGAGCUCGGAUUAAGGAAGUUUAUGAACACACAUCAUUUGGUGACACUGACAGUGAUGGACUUCAACUCCUGACCACGUCAAUCCUGGAUGUUCAUGGGAGGCUGAGCUGCCAAAAAGACGCAGAGGAAUACUGAAUCCUCUACCCAACAAACUCUGGGUGGCAUUUUCAUGAUGAGGUUAGAUGUGGAAAUUGAGCCACAGAGAAGUGAAAGCAAUCGUUAAUGCUUUAGAUGAAGGACAAGCCUGGAGCAUUGAUUAGAAUUCUUGAAUCUUAAGCUGUUCUGAACCCCAGGUCUGGUUUUCCCCUGAAUUAAGUCAUGGGACAUAAUUUUUUCUAAAAGAGAAAUCCUGUUCUUUAAAGCUUAACCCCACUCCCCAAAUGUACAUCCAAGUACCAUGUUCCAGAGGGAAAAUGUCUUCAAAAUCUUCCCCUCAAUUCUAAGGUUAUUGGAUUUAAGGCACAGUGGAAUAACUAGCUGUAGAGCUAAAAUGUGUGGUAUUUAAAGGUAACUUUGAAUUUUUGUUAGCUUACAUUCAAGUAAAAAGACUUGAAAAGAUCAUAAACCACUGUCCCAAGCCUCUAGCUUUAAUCAGGUCACUUAUUAGAGUGAACAAAUUUUAAAAUCAAAAAGUAUACUAUUCUGCUGAAAGAGACCUUUCUCAAGGCCCACACUUGUUCAUCAUUUUUUGUCACUGUUAAGGCCACCAUUGCCAAGUUCCCAGAAUGUUUUACAACUGAUCAUUUCAGAGGGUUCUCAAGUAGGUCAGAAGAAAAAAAAAAAAAGUCCUUUAAUGAUGAUCUUCGUGCCGUGCUUUGAUGACAGGAAGUAAAGAGGCCAAGCAAAGUAUAACCACUUCUGUACUAUAAGUCCAGAGUGUUUAGUGUUUGAGAAGCACAGCAUCCAUAAUUCAGACUAAAGUUGUUUAGUAUUGUAAUUAGCCAUAGAAAACUUACCUCGGCACUUUUUGCUGUCUAAAAAAAGUGCACUCAGCUUUUAACUCAUUCUGUUCUGAUGGCUCCAAUUUUGUCUGUACUAAAGUAAUUUCCACAUGUCUUCUUGAGUGUUGGCAUGUGAGCUGCAUAAAUUCCCUGGGGUCCAAGGUCCAAAGACACUGUGCCAUGGAAAGGGAGACGGUCCUAUUUCUAAAAGAAUAUUGGGACAGGUAGGUGACAGUGUUUUGUGUGUGACUUCUGGGAGAUGUGGCUUGGAUGUUGAAAUAUUGGUACUUCUGGGGACUUUUCUUUUUCUUUUUUUAUAACCUCAUCUGCAACAUAUGAAAGUUCCCAGUUAGAGGUCAAAUCGGAGCUACAGCGUCAGGCCUACACCACGGCAACACUGGAUCUGAGCUGCAUCUGGAACUUAUGCCGAAGGCCAGGGAUCAAAACUGCAUCCUCACAGAGACAAUGUUGUGUCCUUGCUGAGCCAUAAUGGGAGCUCCUCUUUUUCUUUUUAAAUUUUUUUAAAUUAAAAAAAAAUUGUUAUUGAAGUAUAAUUGAUUUACAGUGUUGUGUUAGUGUCAGGUGUAUAGCAAGGCGAUUCUGUUUUAUGUAUAUAUGUAUAUAUAUAUUUUUCAGAUUCUUUUCCAAUAUAGGUUAUUAUAAGAUAUUGAAUAUAGUUCCCUGUGCUAUAGGACCUUGCUUAUCUCUUUUAUAUAUAGUAGUAUAUAUAUAUAGUAGUAUCUAUUAACCUCAAAUUCUUAAUUUACACCCCCACCAUUUCCCCUUUGUUAACCAUAAGUUUGUUUUCUACGUCUGUGAGUCUCUUUCUGUUUUGUAAAUAAGUUCCUUUGUAUCACUUUUUAAGAUUCUAUGCAUAAGUGAUAUCAUAUGAUGUUAGCCUUUGUCUGACUUACUUCACUUAAUUCAUUCUUUUUAAGUGAGUGAUAUUUCAUGUAUCUUUAUCCAUCCAUCUGUUGAGGGGCAUUUAGGUUGCUUCCAUGACUUGACUAUUGUAAGUAGUGCUGCUGUGAGCUUUGAGGUGCAUGUAUCCUUUCAAAUUAGAGUUUUUGUCUUUUCUGGCCCAGGAGUGGCAUUUCUGAAUCAUAUGGUAACUCUAUUUUUAGUGUUUGAAGGAACCCUCUGGGGCAUUUAAAUGGUUUAUGGGAAUAGCAGGGAAGAAUCAUUUAUUCCAAAUAUUUCAUGUAAUCAAGUUGUGUUUAUCUAUUCAAACAUUUCAUUUUAAAAUAUUAAAAUAGUUCAAACA
Molecule: long non-coding RNA, 2727 nt
Filed under: Sus scrofa (pig)
Lineage: Eukaryota; Metazoa; Chordata; Mammalia; Artiodactyla; Suidae
Description: lncRNA (ENSSSCG00025016630.1)
Source: RNAcentral